GCCAGGCGUGGUGGCGGGCGCCUGCAGUCCCAGCUACUGGGGAGGCUGAGGCCAGAGAAUGGCGUGAACCCGGGAGGUAAGAGUUUGCAGUGAGCCGAGAUGGCGCCACCGCACUCCAUCCUAGGCGACAGAGCAAGAUUCCNNNNNNNNNNGGAAUCUUGCUCUGUCGCCUAGGAUGGAGUGCGGUGGCGCCAUCUCGGCUCACUGCAAACUCUUACCUCCCGGGUUCACGCCAUUCUCUGGCCUCAG
Chlorocebus sabaeus (green monkey) is the source of this 249-nucleotide non-coding RNA. It matches the Rfam family "Metazoan signal recognition particle RNA". Rfam says of the family: The signal recognition particle (SRP) is a universally conserved ribonucleoprotein. It is involved in the co-translational targeting of proteins to membranes. The eukaryotic SRP consists of a 300-nucleotide 7S RNA and six proteins: SRPs 72, 68, 54, 19, 14, and 9. The record is from Rfam. NCBI's taxonomy places the organism in Eukaryota, Metazoa, Chordata, Mammalia, Primates, Cercopithecidae.